RNAcentral lists this non-coding RNA (29 nucleotides) under Mus musculus (house mouse). The record is from RNAcentral. Lineage: Eukaryota; Metazoa; Chordata; Mammalia; Rodentia; Muridae.
UGUGCUGAGAUUGCUCACAAUGUGUCCUC